RNAcentral lists this ribosomal RNA (301 nucleotides) under uncultured bacterium. Its description in RNAcentral is "partial 16S ribosomal RNA". It matches the Rfam family "Bacterial small subunit ribosomal RNA", at positions 509 to 807 of the family's 1533-position model. The record is from RNAcentral.
CAGCAGCCGCGGGAAUACGGAGGGAGCUAGCGUUGUUUGGAAUUACUGGGCGUAAAGCGCGCGUAGGCGGUUACUCAAGUCAGAGGUGAAAGCCCGGGGCUCAACCCCGGAACUGCCUUUGAAACCAGGUGACUAGAAUCUUGGAGAGGUCAGUGGAAUUCCGAGUGUAGAGGUGAAAUUCGUAGAUAUUCGGAAGAACACCAGUGGCGAAGGCGACUGACUGGACAAGUAUUGACGCUGAGGUGCGAAAGCGUGGGGAGCAAACAGGAUUAGAUACCCCGGUAGUCCCUGUCUCUUAUAC